AGCAGCCGCGGUAAUUCCAGCUCCAAUAGCGUAUAUUAAAGUUGCUGCAGUUAAAAAGCUCGUAGUUGAAUUUCGGGACUAUCAUGUCGGUCGUGCCUCGGUACGUACUGGUAUUGUUGGUUUCUCCCUUCUGACGAACCAUGAUGUCAUUUAUUUGGUGUUGUGGGGAAUCAGGACUGUUACUUUGAAAAAAUUAGAGUGUUUAAAGCAGGCUCACGCUUGAAUACAUUAGCAUGGAAUAAUGAAAUAGGACGUUUGAUUCUAUUUUGUUGGUUUCUAGGAUCGACGUAAUGAUUAAUAGGGAUAGUUGGGGGCAUUAGUAUUCAAUUGUCAGAGGUGAAAUUCUUGGAUUUAUUGAAGACUAACUACUGCGAAAGCAUUUGCCAAGGAUGUUUUCAUUAAUCAAGAACGAAAGUUAGGGGAUCGAAGACGAUCAGAUACCGUCGUAGUCUUAACCAUAAACUAUGCCGACUAGGGAUCGGAUGAUGUUAAUUUUAAUGACUCAUUCGGCGCCUUAAC
This 519-nucleotide ribosomal RNA is filed under the name uncultured Glomeromycotina. RNAcentral describes it as "SSU rRNA". It matches the Rfam family "Eukaryotic small subunit ribosomal RNA", at positions 569 to 1092 of the family's 1831-position model. The record is from RNAcentral. Lineage: Eukaryota; Fungi; Glomeromycota.